UGCAGGACUGGACUCCACAGAGCCGGACAGCAUGCACCCAGGGGACAAGAUUUAACAGAUGUAAGUAUGUAAUUAUGUAUGUAUGUCUGUAUGUCUGUAUGUCUGUAUGUAUGUAUGUAUGUAUGUAUGUCUCUGUAUGAUGUGUGUAUGUAUGUAUGUCUGUGUAUGUCUCUGUAUGAUGUCUGUAUGUCUCUGUCUGUAUGUCUGUAUGUAUGUCUCUGUAUGUAUG
Pelobates cultripes (western spadefoot toad) is the source of this 229-nucleotide non-coding RNA. The record is from the annotation of a GenBank genome assembly. NCBI's taxonomy places the organism in Eukaryota, Metazoa, Chordata, Amphibia, Anura, Pelobatidae.